This is an RNA transcript of Oreochromis aureus, 5838 nucleotides long. It is a transcript of the gene named rho-associated protein kinase 2-like, with no coding region annotated. The transcript is spliced from 33 exons. NCBI's taxonomy places the organism in Eukaryota, Metazoa, Chordata, Actinopteri, Cichliformes, Cichlidae. The record is from RefSeq and is a predicted model, not a curated record.
AAUCGUUUUUACAGGUUGUACAUGUUGGCUCGGCUCUGAUUUAGUGUUACCUGCCUGCCUGAUAGCAAGACGACACUUAUCUGAAAGUGAAGUUUACCUCGACACACCCGCUCGGUUUUCACUUGCGUGUGUGUCUGUGUGACCACUAAUGAAAACUUGGGCGAGACGGUUUGUUUGGGCCUCGGAUAAAUAAUUAACCAGACAACUCAAGCCGCAGUUUCAAGAGCUGACAUGAGGAGCUGAAGCAAAGCAAGAGCGGAGUGCGCCUCUAUCGCAAGCCUGUUACCUGAGAGAAAACAACAGGCUCGCAGGUGUUUUUUUUUUUUUUGUUUUGGUUUUUUUUUAUAUAUUUGUUUUUUGUAUUUUUCCUUAUAUUUUUAAUGUCAUUUGAACUGGAUACACUUCAUUGUAAUCAUGCUGGGAGCGGAGAGCAGAUUGGAAAGCCGGCUGAAGAAGCUGGAGUCCCUGAUAAGGAAUCCACAGUCGGCACUAAACUUGGCAACCCUGCUGGAUUCCAUGAAUGCGCUGGUCAAUGACUUGAAUUACCCGCCCUUACGGAAAAACAAAAACAUAGAGUCCUUUCUGAACAGAUAUAAAGACUUAGUGAGUGAGCUGCGAGAACUUCAGAUGAAGCUUGAUGACUUUGAGAAAGUCAAGCUGAUCGGAAAAGGAGCUUAUGGAGAAGUGCAGCUGGUCCGUCACAAGGCCUCUAAGAAGGUUUAUGCCAUGAAGCAGCUCAGCAAGUUUGAGAUGAUCAAAAGGUCAGAUUCGGCCUUCUUCUGGGAGGAGAGACACAUUAUGGCCUUCUCCAACAGCCCCUGGGUGGUCCAGCUAUGCUGUGCUUUCCAAGAUGAUCGGCACCUUUACAUGGUGAUGGAAUUCAUGCCCGGAGGAGACCUGGUCACACUCACCAUGAACUACGACAUCCCUGAGGAAUGGGCUCGCUUCUACACGGCAGAAGUAGUGCUGGGGCUAGACGCCAUCCACUUGAUGGGCUUCAUCCACCGUGACAUUAAGCCUGACAACAUGCUGCUGGACCAACACGGACACCUCAAACUGGCUGAUUUUGGCACAUGCAUGAAGAUGGACUCGACAGGUAUGGUGAAAUGUGACACAGCCGUAGGCACACCAGACUACAUCUCUCCCGAGGUUCUCCAGUCUCAGGGUGGUGAUGGCUACUAUGGCCGGGAGUGUGACUGGUGGUCUGUAGGAGUAGUUCUCUAUGAAUUGCUAGUUGGUGAAACUCCUUUCUAUGCCGAGUCCCUUAUUGGAACGUACGGAAAGAUUAUGAACCACCAGAACUCGCUCGUAUUCCCAGAUGAUGUAGAGAUGUCUCAAAAUGCCAAAGAUCUCAUCUGUGCCUUCCUUACUGACAGGAAGGUUCGUCUGGGCCGCACCGGAGUGGACGAGAUAAAAUGUCACCCCUUCUUUAAGAACAACCAGUGGACCUUUGACAACAUCCGUGACACUGUGGCCCCAGUUGUGCCAGAGCUGAAAGGUGACUUAGACACCAGUAACUUUGAUGACAUAGAGGUUGAGAAAGGAGAUGUUGAGACCUUUCCUCCACCCAAAGCCUUUGUUGGCAACCAGCUACCAUUUAUUGGUUUCACCUACUUCAAGGAGGAUCAGCUGCUAAAGGGAAGUAAAAGCAGUUCUGCAAAAGAUUCAGAGGACUGUGAGGAAAUCUCAGAGGACAAGGACAAUUGUUCAGACAAUAAGAAAGAGCUGCAGAAAAAGAUUUCCCAACUGGAAGAGAAGCUCGACAAUGAGAUGCAGGCCAAAGAUGAGCUGGAGCAAAAGUGCAGAAAUGCUACCAACCGUUUAGACAAACUCGUCAAAGAAUUAGACAAGGAGAUGAACAGCAGGCAGAAAGUCGAGGCCUCACUGAGGCAGCUGGAGAGAGAGAGAGCUCUGCUGCAGCACCAGAGUGCUGAGAAUCUGCGCAAGGUGGAGAUCGAAACUGACAGGAAACGCAGCCUGGAGAACGAACUGAACAAGCUGAGGGACCAGCUAGAGGAUCUGAGGAAGAAGAACCAGAAUUCGCACAUCUCAAAUGAGAAGAACAUCCAGCUGCAAAAACAACUUGAGGACGUCAAUGCUGUGCUUCAGGCUGAGCAAGAGGCUGUAGCGCGGUUAAAGAAGAGUCAGGCGGAGGUGCAGAAACAAGCCCAGAGCCUGGAGGUUAGCCUCGGGGAGAUGCAGGAAAAGUGCAGCCAGCUUGAAAACAGCAAGAUGGAGCUGGAGAAGCAGCUGAGGGGGCUGCAGGCCGAGCUGGAGGAGGAGAGGAGAGGCCGCAACAUGGGGACAGAAACUAUUAAUGACCUACAGGGAUGCAUCUCAGGGCUGGAAGAAGAGGUGAAAGAAGCGAAGUCAUCUCUCUCCAAGGUCCAGACUGAAAAAAAGGAGCUACAGGAGAAGCUCAAUGAGCUUGAGAAGAAAAAGAGCAACCAAGAGAUCGACCUUACGUUCAAGCUGAAGUCCCUCCAGCAGAGUCUGGAGCAGGAGGAGGCAGAGCACAAGGCCACUAAAGCCAAGCUUGCUGAUAAAAAGAAGACCGACCAAUCCAUAGAGGAGGCAAAGUCCGAGGCUUUAAAAGAGAUGGAGUGCACCCUGCAGGAGGAGCGCAGCUUGAAGAUGCAGGUGGAGGGAAAGCUGCUGCAGCUAAAAAAAGACUACUCCAUGCUGGACUGUGAUUACAAGCAGGCGCAGAACAAGCUGGAUGAAUUUAAGACACAGAAGGAGAAACUUUCUGAAGAGGUGUUGCACCUGACCUCACGUCUGGAGGAGGAGAUGCACAAGCGGAGUAUGAGCCAGAGUGAACUGAAGAUGCAGAACCAGCAGGUGUCUGUGCUCCAGUCCUCUGAGAAACAGCUCAAACAGGAACUCAACCAGCUGUUAGACAUGAAGCAGAUGCUGGAGAAACAGAACCAGGAACUACGCAGGGAAAAGCAGGAGGCUGAUGGCCAGCUGAAGGAGCUGAAGGACCAACUGGAGGCACAGCACUGUUUCACAACCCUUUACAAGACGCAGAUCCGUGAGCUGACGGAUGAGCGUGAUGAGAAGAAUAAGCUGUACGAAGAGGUGCAGCAGCAACUGGCAGAAUACCAGGAAGAGAGGAAGUCACUGACAACCCGGCUGGAAGAAAGCUUGACCAAAGCAGACACUGAGAAGUUGGCUCGUUCCGUCGUUGAGGAGCAGUUCUCCAAUCUGGAGAAAGAAAAGAUCAUGAAGGAGCUAGAGAUCAGCGACAUGAUGAUGAGGCACAAGCAGGAGCUCAGCGAUAAGGAGGCCACCAUCAGCUCGCUGGAAGAGUCCAAUCGUACUCUGACGGUGGACGUAGCCAACCUGGCCAGUGAGAAGGAAGAACUCAACAACCAGCUGAAAGAAAUGCAACAAAACCUCCAGAAAGCAAAAGAUGAAGAGAACUCUCUCAAAGAGUCCUUUGAAAAGCUGCUGCAGAACGAAAGAACGCUAAAAAUUCAGGCUGUGAACAAACUGGCUGAGGUGAUGAACAGGAGGGAGAAGGUGCGGGGAGGCCACCAAGGCAACGACACCGAGGUGCACAAGAAGGAGAAGGAGAACAGGAAACUGCAGCUGGAGCUGAAAGCAGAGAAGCAGAAAUUCAGCACCGCCAUCGUAAAAUACCAGAACCAGCUGGCUGAAAUGGAGGCGCUGAUGGCAGAAGAGAACCAGAUGCGUCUAGAUCUUCAGAUGACGCUGGACAGUAAAGAGAGCGACAUCGAGCAGCUGCGAUCCCAGCUCACAUCCCUCAGCAUUCACUCUCUGGACACCACAAGCAUCAGCAGUGCCAACGACUUAGACUUAGAAGGAUACCCAGACUCCUGGCUGGAGGGCUGGAUCUCACUUCCUUCCAAGAACACCAAGCGAUUUGGUUGGGACAAAAAAUAUGUGGUCGUGAGCAGUAAGAAGAUCCUGUUCUAUAACAGCGAGGUGGAUCGAGAGCAAGCUAACCCUUUCAUGACCCUGGACCUUGAUAAGCUGUUUCAUGUCCGACCUGUAACUCAGACUGAUGUGUACCGUGCAGAUGUCAAAGAAAUUCCAAGGAUUUUCCAGAUCCUAUAUGACAAUGAAGGUGAGAGCAAGCGUGAGCAGGAUCCUGCAGCUGAACCCACGAACUCUGGUGAUCGCGCCUCAUACAUCAGCCACAAGGGCCAUGAGUUCAUCGUCACCCUCUACCAUUUCCCAUGUAACUGUGAGGUCUGCAGCCGGCCUUUGUGGAACGUCUUCAAGCCUCCACCAGCGCUCGAAUGUCGUCGCUGCCACACCAAGUUCCAUAAAGACCACCUGGAUAAAAAAGAAGUUAUUAUACCCUGCAAAGUGAACUAUGACAUCUCCACGGCCAAAGAACUGCUCCUCCUGACCAGCUCUCAGACGGAGCAGAAGCACUGGGUCAGUCACCUCCUUAAGCGCAUCCCGAAACACCCGACACUGAGUCCUCCCCCUGUGGCACGCAAUUCCCCUGAAAAAGCACUCCAUUCCUCUCCACAAGUUUCCCCACGACCUUCGCCCAAGAGCUCUCCUCGCAUGUCCCAUCGGGGCGCUGUAAAAAUCCAAUCCACCCGGCAGCAACCAUCAUCAGGGAAGCCAAGCACUGGCCCCAUGCUCCGUAUCAUCCUCCACUGACACCCGAUCUCUUCACCUCUGACCCCAACAUUUCUAACGUCUCUCAUGCUGGGAGACUUUAACCCUGGGUAAUAUUUUCAUCCGUGUGGAGUAAUGGUGGUCUGGAAGCGGUGCCUACGUGUGUUAUGUUUUUUCAGAGAAGACUGUCAAAAAAAACAAAAACACAAAAAAAUCCCACAAAACACUAAUAUGGACAGAAAACUGGCUGGCGUCAUGAGAAAAAGGAUUUUUUUUUUUGUCAUUUUAACAAAAGGAGAAUCAGCACAGUCUUCCCAUUUCAGUGAUUCAUCCGAUGAAAAAGCAUGUGACAAUCUUCACGAUUAAACUGCCCUAUUUUCUUUUUAGUCAUCAUAAUUAUGACAAGACUAUUUUCUUUUUCUCUUUGCGUUUGUAAAAAGAUUACGCAUGUGUUUGAACAUUUGUAUAUACGAUAAAUAUCUAUAUCUGUGUAUCGUAGCACAUAACGUGGAGCUAAUAGUAUAUAUAAUUGUUUUGUUUCUAUGACCACAUCACACAGUGAAUAUGGUUGUCCUGUAAAUGUAUUAAAACGGUUUUAUGGCUUCUUUUUGAGUGGAAAAUGAGCCUUUAUAAGUACAUCUGUUAUAACAUACGGCAGAACAAUGUGAACUCGACUGAAACAAUGUUGUUUUUUUCUUGCGCUUCGUGACAAUUAUUGAUUGUUCAUAUAUGUUUAAAAUCCCAUGUGUAGAAUUUUUGGGGUGAUACAUUAAAAAAAACGUAAAAAAAAUCAAGACUUAAGCAUUUCAAUUAGUGGCUCUGGUGAUGGUAUUUGUGUGUUGUGCAUGCCUAUUAUUUAAAAGUUUUCAAAAUUUGUGGCAUUGGUGAUGUACAGCUGCUGCCUGAUCGAGUCUAAAAGGAAAUAAUUUAUAUCGAUUAACGUGGUGUGUGGAAUCAAACCAUAUCUAGCAUGUGACUGUUUUUGAGUUGUUAGUGUUAAUAUUAAUGAAAAAGCAGUUUAUUCUGUAAUAUAUUGGUAAACAACAAAACUGUACCAAAUAAUUAUGUUAUUCUACAGCCAUCAGUGUAUUUAAAGUGACCAUUUGUAUUGAACCAGAAUAGGUCCGGCUUUGUCUCGCUUCUACAGUAUGUGGUGGUGAGCAGUAAAAAGCUCCUGUUCUAUAACACUGAGCUGGAUCGAGAGAAAGCGAACCUUUUCAUGACCCCUGACAUUGA